Armillaria nabsnona is the source of this 80-nucleotide non-coding RNA. The record is from the annotation of a GenBank genome assembly. NCBI's taxonomy places the organism in Eukaryota, Fungi, Basidiomycota, Agaricomycetes, Agaricales, Physalacriaceae.
GGGUGUCUGGUGCAGUUGGUUGCACAUACAUUUUGCGUUUGAUGGGCACGAGGUUGCGGGUUCAAUUCCCACUAUGUCCU